RNAcentral lists this ribosomal RNA (465 nucleotides) under Vreelandella stevensii. RNAcentral's name for it is "partial 16S ribosomal RNA". It matches the Rfam family "Bacterial small subunit ribosomal RNA", at positions 338 to 795 of the family's 1533-position model. The record is from RNAcentral. Lineage: Bacteria; Pseudomonadati; Pseudomonadota; Gammaproteobacteria; Oceanospirillales; Halomonadaceae.
CCUACGGGUGGCUGCAGUGGGGAAUAUUGGACAAUGGGCGAAAGCCUGAUCCAGCCAUGCCGCGUGUGUGAAGAAGGCCUUCGGGUUGUAAAGCACUUUCAGUGGGGAAGAAAGCCUUGGGGCUAAUACCCUCGAGGAAGGACAUCACCCACAGAAGAAGCACCGGCUAACUCCGUGCCAGCAGCCGCGGUAAUACGGAGGGUGCGAGCGUUAAUCGGAAUUACUGGGCGUAAAGCGCGCGUAGGCGGUCUGAUAAGCCGGUUGUGAAAGCCCCGGGCUCAACCUGGGAACGGCAUCCGGAACUGUCAGGCUAGAGUGCAGGAGAGGAAGGUAGAAUUCCCGGUGUAGCGGUGAAAUGCGUAGAGAUCGGGAGGAAUACCAGUGGCGAAGGCGGCCUUCUGGACUGACACUGACGCUGAGGUGCGAAAGCGUGGGUAGCACACAGGAUUAGAUACCCUGGUAGUC